Molecule: transfer RNA, 89 nt
Filed under: Bacteroidota bacterium
Lineage: Bacteria; Pseudomonadati; Bacteroidota
Also listed under: 1 other name
Description: tRNA-Ser
Rfam family: tRNA
About the family: Transfer RNA (tRNA) molecules are approximately 80 nucleotides in length. Their secondary structure includes four short double-helical elements and three loops (D, anti-codon, and T loops).
Source: RNAcentral
GGAGGGAUGCCAGAGCGGUCGAAUGGGACGGUCUCGAAAACCGUUGUCUGCCUUACGGCGGACCGAGGGUUCGAAUCCCUCUCCCUCCG